RNAcentral lists this ribosomal RNA (468 nucleotides) under uncultured bacterium. RNAcentral's name for it is "partial 16S ribosomal RNA". It matches the Rfam family "Bacterial small subunit ribosomal RNA", at positions 28 to 507 of the family's 1533-position model. The record is from RNAcentral.
GACGAACGCUGGCGGCGUGCUUAACACAUGCAAGUCGAACGGAAAGGCCCUGCUUUUGUGGGGUGCUCGAGUGGCGAACGGGUGAGUAACACGUGAGUAACCUGCCCUUGACUUUGGGAUAACUUCAGGAAACUGGGGCUAAUACCGGAUAGGAGCUCCUGCUGCAUGGUGGGGGUUGGAAAGUUUCGGCGGUUGGGGAUGGACUCGCGGCUUAUCAGCUUGUUGGUGGGGUAGUGGCUUACCAAGGCUUUGACGGGUAGCCGGCCUGAGAGGGUGACCGGCCACAUUGGGACUGAGAUACGGCCCAGAAUCCUACGGGAGGCAGCAGUGGGGAAUAUUGCAAAAUGGGCGGAAGCCUGAUGCAGCAACGCCGCGUGCGGGAUGACGGCCUUCGGGUUGUAAACCGCUUUCGCCUGUGACGAAGCGUGAGUGACGGUAAUGGGUAAAGAAGCAACGGCUAACUACGUG